AAUCAAUAGUUCCUUAAUUGGGAACUGGAAUGAAUGAUUUGACGAGAUAUUGACUGUCUUGUUGUGAGAAGUUGAAUUUAACUUUUUAGUUAAAAGGCUGAAAUGAUAGUGGAGGACGAGAAGACCCUAUAGAACUUAAUUAAUUGAGAUGAUAUGAGGUUUAGUGUUGAAUUACAUAUUUUGGAAGAUUAAUUUCGUUGGGGUGACGCGUAGAUAAAAAUAACUCUAUGUAUAAAUGGAUAAUAAUAAUUAGUAUUUAUGAUUUUAUAUUAUAAGUUUAAGAAAAGUUACCUUAGGGAUAACAGCGUUAUUUUUCUUGAGAGUUCUUAUUGAUAGAAGAGUUUGCGACCUCGAUGUUGGAUUAAGAGAAUAUUUGGGUGUAGAAGCUUAAAUAGAGGGUCUGUUCGACCAUUAAAUU
This 418-nucleotide ribosomal RNA is filed under the name Eremogryllodes dilutus. Its description in RNAcentral is "partial large subunit ribosomal RNA". It matches the Rfam family "Archaeal large subunit ribosomal RNA", at positions 2040 to 2663 of the family's 2987-position model. The record is from RNAcentral. Lineage: Eukaryota; Metazoa; Arthropoda; Insecta; Orthoptera; Myrmecophilidae.